CAUGAUAUUCAAUUUCUGCUACCAACGGAGCAUCAUUUGGAGAUUUUGCAUACGUUGAUGUUGUAGCCGAUAGAAAAAUACCGUUAUUUUGCGUCGAUCUACGAUUUGUCAAUUCUGACGUCUGAAAUUUUAAUCCAUUCAUAAUGUAACCACUAUAAAUUGAAGCAAAACAACUUGGUCCGCGGGAAAUAGAAUUCAAAUCUGUGUCAGAUUGUUGAGCUUCGGACAUGUGUUUCUUAAACCAAUCGGCAAAUUGUUUGAAGUGUAAAUUUUCCAGACGAAGCUGUGUGUGUUUUGGAAACAUAACUUUCAAAUGCUUCAAGUGUUUAUUUCGAUAUGGUUCGACACUUUCAAGAUCAAACAAUAUACAUUGAUGCAACUGUUUCUGUUGUAAAGUAGUCAACGUUAUAUCAGUCGGUGCAUUUAAAAACCCAUCGAUAUACCUAUCUGGGCGAUUUGAUUUAGUCUCGACAUUUUGU
Molecule: long non-coding RNA, 479 nt
Filed under: Zostera marina
Lineage: Eukaryota; Viridiplantae; Streptophyta; Magnoliopsida; Alismatales; Zosteraceae
Description: long non-coding RNA (ZMAR_LNC003220)
Source: RNAcentral